ACUCCUGCAAAAGCAGAACCACCCUGAAUUCGUUAC
This 36-nucleotide ribosomal RNA is filed under the name Ginoria nudiflora. RNAcentral describes it as "partial 18S ribosomal RNA". Lineage: Eukaryota; Viridiplantae; Streptophyta; Magnoliopsida; Myrtales; Lythraceae. The record is from RNAcentral.